RNAcentral lists this long non-coding RNA (621 nucleotides) under Phascolarctos cinereus (koala). RNAcentral describes it as "lncRNA (ENSPCIG00000033499.1)". Lineage: Eukaryota; Metazoa; Chordata; Mammalia; Diprotodontia; Phascolarctidae. The record is from RNAcentral.
GGCAUUUCUCUUUGUCUUUCCAUCUCAUCACUUUCCUUCUUCUCUUCCCUCACUUUCCAGUCCUCUUCCUUUUCUCCUAUCUGUUUUUGUCCCUUUCUCUAUCAAUUCUCCCUCUUUUUCCCUGUUUCUCUUUUCUCUUCUUUCUUUCUCUAUCAUUCUUUCAAUCUUCUCUGUGAACCUUCCUUACUAUCUCUUUAUUUUCUGUCUCUGUCUCUAUGUCUCUGUUUUUCUUUCUUGUUGUCUCUAUCUCUGUCUCUUUCUCUCUCCCCAUCUUUCCCUCUGCCUCUCUUCGUUUCUUUCUCUUCAUGCCUUCACAGGGAGCCCCAGGAGAUGCUGGAAUGUCUAUUAUUGGUCCUCGUGGUCCCCCGGGUCAGCCUGGCACAAGAGGCUUUCCUGGAUUUCCGGUGAGUGGGGAUGGUUUCUGUAAAUGCCCUUGCCCAUCCAUUUCAGCUGGGCCUCAUUGCACUGAGUCGUCCCUUACAUGGGCAUUCCCCUCUGAAGCAACAGUGGCUCUUUCGUGGAGUGCUCUACUCCUCAGCCCUUCCGAAAAUGAAGCCAGACUUGGGAUAGCUCAGAGCUGGGACUGCUUCUAGUUGUUAGAGAGAGAGAGAAAAGGGAAAG